CAAUAGCGUAUAUUAAAGUUGUUGCGGUUAAAAAGCUCGUAGUUGGAUUUCUGCCGAGGACGACCGGUCCGCCCUCUGGGUGAGUAUCUGGCUUGGCCUGGGCAUCUUCUUGGAGAACGUAGCUGCACUUGACUGUGUGGUGCGGUAUCCAGGACUUUUACUUUGAGGAAAUUAGAGUGUUUCAAGCAGGCAUGCGCCUUGAAUACAUUAGCAUGGAAUAAUAAGAUAGGACCUCGGUUCUAUUUUGUUGGUUUGCGCACAGAGGUAAUGAUGAACAGGGACAGUUGGGGGUAUUUGUAUUUCGUUGUCAGAGGUGAAAUUCUUAGAUUUACGAAAGACAAACUACUGCGAAAGCAUUUACCAAGGAUGUUUUCAUUGAUCAAGAACGAAAGUUAGGGGAUCAAAGACGAUCAGAUACCGU
RNAcentral lists this ribosomal RNA (421 nucleotides) under uncultured eukaryote. Its description in RNAcentral is "SSU rRNA". It matches the Rfam family "Eukaryotic small subunit ribosomal RNA", at positions 592 to 1018 of the family's 1831-position model. The record is from RNAcentral.